This 250-nucleotide ribosomal RNA is filed under the name uncultured bacterium. Its description in RNAcentral is "partial 16S ribosomal RNA". It matches the Rfam family "Archaeal small subunit ribosomal RNA", at positions 474 to 724 of the family's 1478-position model. The record is from RNAcentral.
UACCAGCACCCCGAGUGGUCGGGACGAUUAUUGGGCCUAAAGCAUCCGUAGCCGGUUCUACAAGUCUUCCGUUAAAUCCAACUGCUUAACAGGUGGGCUGCGGAAGAUACUAUAGAGCUAGGAGGCGGGAGAGGCAAGCGGUACUCGAUGGGUAGGGGUAAAAUCCGUUGAUCCAUUGAAGACCACCAGUGGCGAAGGCGGCUUGCCAGAACGCGCUCGACGGUGAGGGAUGAAAGCUGGGGGAGCAAAC